This 1481-nucleotide ribosomal RNA is filed under the name uncultured rumen bacterium. RNAcentral's name for it is "bacterial SSU rRNA". It matches the Rfam family "Bacterial small subunit ribosomal RNA". The record is from RNAcentral.
AGAGUUUGAUCCUGGCUCAGGAUGAACGCUAGCGACAGGCCUAACACAUGCAAGUCGAGGGGUAACAGGGAGCUUGCUCCGCUGACGACCGGCGCACGGGUGAGUAACGCGUAUGCAACCUGCCCGCGGGAUCGGGAUAGCCCCCCGAAAGGGGGAUUAACACCGGAUGCGGCUAUUGGGGGGCAUCCCCGGAUAGCCAAAUGCGAAGCUCGCGGAUGGGCAUGCGUCCGAUUAGCUGGUUGGGGGGGUAACGGCCCACCAAGGCGACGAUCGGUAGGGGUCCUGAGAGGGAGGUCCCCCACACUGGUACUGAGACACGGACCAGACUCCUACGGGAGGCAGCAGUGAGGAAUAUUGGUCAAUGGGCGAGAGCCUGAACCAGCCAUGUCGCGUGGAGGAAUAAGGAUCUAUGGUUCGUAAACUCCUUUUGCGCGGGGAUAAAGUGGCGGACUUGUCCGCUAUUGCAGGUACCGCGCGAAUAAGCAUCGGCUAACUCCGUGCCAGCAGCCGCGGUAAUACGGAGGAUGCGAGCGUUAUCCGGAUUUAUUGGGUUUAAAGGGUGCGUAGGCGGCCCGUUAAGCCGGCGGUGAAAUUUCCGGGCUCAACCCGGUCACUGCCGUCGGAACUGGUGGGCUUGAGUGCGUUUGGGGUGGCUGGAAUGUGCGGUGUAGCGGUGAAAUGCAUAGAUAUCGCACAGAACGCCGAUCGCGGAGGCAGGUCGCCAAGCCGCAACUGACGCUGAGGCACGAAAGCGCGGGGAUCGAACAGGAUUAGAUACCCUGGUAGUCCGCGCAGUAAACGAUGGACGCUCGCCGUCCGGCCGGUAAGGGUCGGGUGGCCAAGCGAAAGCGAUAAGCGUCCCACCUGGGGAGUACGCCGGCAACGGUGAAACUCAAAGGAAUUGACGGGGGCCCGCACAAGCGGAGGAACAUGUGGUUUAAUUCGAUGAUACGCGAGGAACCUUACCCGGGCUUGAAAGUUAGCGACGGACGGUGAAAGCCGUCCUCCCUUCGGGGCGCGAAACUAGGUGCUGCAUGGUUGUCGUCAGCUCGUGCCGUGAGGUGUCGGCUUAAGUGCCAUAACGAGCGCAACCCCUGCCCGUAGUUGCCAGCAGUGAGAUGGGGACUCUACGGGGACUGCCACCGCAAGGUGCGAGGAAGGCGGGGAUGACGUCAAAUCAGCACGGCCCUUACGUCCGGGGCGACACACGUGUUACAAUGGGGGGUACAGAGGGAAGCGGCAUGGCGACAUGUAGCGGAUCUCGGAAAGCCCCUCUCAGUUCGGAUCGGAGUCUGCAACCCGACUCCGUGAAGCUGGAUUCGCUAGUAAUCGCGCAUCAGCCAUGGCGCGGUGAAUACGUUCCCGGGCCUUGUACACACCGCCCGUCAAGCCAUGGGAGCCGGGGGCGCCUGAAGUCCGUGACCGAAAGGAGCGGCCUAGGGUGAAACUGGUGACUGGGGCUAAGUCGUAACAAGGUAACC